This 74-nucleotide transfer RNA is filed under the name Microcaldota archaeon. RNAcentral describes it as "tRNA-Gly". It matches the Rfam family "tRNA". Rfam says of the family: Transfer RNA (tRNA) molecules are approximately 80 nucleotides in length. Their secondary structure includes four short double-helical elements and three loops (D, anti-codon, and T loops). Lineage: Archaea; Nanobdellati; Microcaldota. The record is from RNAcentral.
GCGGCCGUAGUCCAGCCUGGCUAGGACGUCAGAUUGCCAAUCUGGAGACCCGGGUUCAAAUCCCGGCGGCCGCA